UACGAGGGGGGCAAGCGUUGUUCGGAAUUACUGGGCGUAAAGGGCUCGUAGGUGGCCAACUAAGUCAGACGUGAAAUCCCCAGGCUCAACUUGGGAACUGCGUCUGAUACUGGAUGGCUUGAAUUCGGGAGAGGGAUGCAGAAUUCCAGGUGUAGCGGUGAAAUGCGUAGAUAUCUGGAGGAACACCGGUGGCGAAGGCGGCAUCCUGGACCAAUAUUGACGCUGAGGAGCGAAAGCCAGGGGAGCAAACGGG
RNAcentral lists this ribosomal RNA (253 nucleotides) under uncultured bacterium. RNAcentral's name for it is "partial 16S ribosomal RNA". It matches the Rfam family "Bacterial small subunit ribosomal RNA", at positions 524 to 776 of the family's 1533-position model. The record is from RNAcentral.